AUUGAACGCUGGCGGCAGGCCUAACACAUGCAAGUCGAACGAGUGGCGGACGGGUGAGUAAUGUCUGGGAAACUGCCCGAUGGAGGGGGAUAACUACUGGAAACGGUAGCUAAUACCGCAUACCAUCGGAUGUGCCCAGAUGGGAUUAGCUAGUAGGUGGGGUAACGGCUCACCAAGGCGACGAUCCCUAGCUGGUCUGAGAGGAUGACCAGCCACACUGGAACUGAUACACGGCCCAGACUCCUACGGGAGGCAGCAGUGGGGAAUAUUGGACAAUGGGCGAAAGCCUGAUGCAGCCAUGCCGCGUGUAUGAAGAAGGCCUUCGGGUUGUAAAGUACUUUCAGCGGGGAGGCGGUACCCGCAGAAUAAGCACCGGCUAACUCCGUGCCAGCAGCCGCGGUAAUAC
Molecule: ribosomal RNA, 406 nt
Filed under: uncultured bacterium
Lineage: Bacteria
Description: partial 16S ribosomal RNA
Rfam family: Bacterial small subunit ribosomal RNA
Source: RNAcentral